AGCAUUGCAUUUUGUGAAGUUCCCAGUUUUGGUGUCAAAUGACAGCUCCGCACCAAGUGAGGCAACAUUGGUUCCAAUGACACCAGAGAAGUUAACAAUAGGGUUAGGUGUCAACCCAAUACUUGAACUUACAGCUGCAUAGUCAUGCAGAUACUGAAUCUCCACCUUGCCAGACCUUUGAUCUGGAACUUUGAAGCUCAAAAUUGCCUUCAGCCCAGGAGUAGGUUCAUCAAAUGUAAUGGUUGUAAAAAGAUUAGAGUCUGUGUCCACUUUGACAUCAGUAGUGAUAUUCUUUUUCUUAAGCUGAGUAUUGACAUCAUGACAUCAGCCAGAAACAGCUCACCUUUCUUUAAACCUGUGGAUGUAAUGGCAACUCCAGUAGGAGAGUAGGUAGUGAUGGUGAACUUGUAGUCAGUCUGGUAAUCCUUGUACAGAAGAUCUCUGGCUUUCUUCCCGAUUUCAGUAUAGAGACCAGGACCCUUUCCCAUGAUUAUUCUGAGCAAAUAUUAAAAUACAACCGCAAAAUGAGAGAGACGUUGAGCUUGAGAAUCUUGGGGCUUUGGUAGUUCUUUUAUAGGAACCGAAAAACCCUAAUUUC
RNAcentral lists this unclassified non-coding RNA (598 nucleotides) under Hevea brasiliensis (rubber tree). Lineage: Eukaryota; Viridiplantae; Streptophyta; Magnoliopsida; Malpighiales; Euphorbiaceae. The record is from RNAcentral.